AUCNUUAAUUAUGUUAAAGCGCCUUACCUUAGGNUUUCCUCUGGGGUAAGUGAUUGCUUCUACACUGUGAAAAUUUGGCUGAGAGACUCAGACUGNUCAUGGGUAGACCUAUCUGGGGUUUGAUCGAUGCCACUCCUGGUUUCAGGAGCACCCUUCAUAAUAAACCUAGAAAUUCAGUAUUAUAAAGUUUAAUAAAAAACAACUUUUAACAAUGGAUCUCUUGGUUCUCGCAUCGAUGAAGAACGUAGCAAAGUGCGAUAACUAGUGUGAAUUGCAUAUUCAGUGAAUCAUCGAGUCUUUGAACGCAGCUUGCACUCUAUGGUUUUUCUAUAGAGUACGCCUGCUUCAGUAUCAUCACAAACCCACACAUAACAUUUGUUUAUGUGGUAAUGGGUCGCAUCGCUGUUUUAUUACAGUGAGCACCUAAAAUGUGUGUGAUUUUCUGUCUGGCUUGCUAGGCAGGAAUAUUACGCUGGUCUCAGGAUCUUUUUCUUUGGUUCGCCCAGGAAGUAAAGUACAAGAGUAUAAUCCAGCAACUUUCAAACUAUGAUCUGAAGUCAGGUGGGAUUACCCGCUGAACUUAAGCAUAUCAAUAAGCGGAGGAAAAGAAAAUAACAAUGAUUUCCCUAGUAACGGCGAGUGAAGAGGAAAGAGCUCAAAGUUGGAACCUGUUUGGCCUAGCUAAWCCGGAUUGUAGACUGUAGAAGUGUUU
Molecule: ribosomal RNA, 712 nt
Filed under: Rhizopus arrhizus
Lineage: Eukaryota; Fungi; Mucoromycota; Mucoromycetes; Mucorales; Rhizopodaceae
Description: eukaryotic LSU rRNA
Rfam family: 5.8S ribosomal RNA (bases 201-354)
Source: RNAcentral